GAGUGCGUCGACGCGUAUCACGUUAUCUCGCUCUUCGUAUCUCGUGUAUAUCACGUUUGUUGAUGCUACUCGCCUCUCUCGCGAUUCUUUUACGGGCGGCAAAAGCAAGACACGCCGGCAUCUCGGCAGAAAGUUCCUCACAUACGCGAACGACGUUAAACGGGCUCGUGAUUACGCGUCUUAGGAAAUCUCUAGGGGCAGAAUCGCGGAGGGUCUCUGUGCCUGUGCGCGACACACGGACGGUCGGACGUUGUCAUUUGAAAACGGAAGCCAUCUUGUGGCCGAGGCUCCCAUAUCACACGGGAAAUAAUAGUUCCACAGCUAUUUGUUUCGAUAAAUUGCUUUGUAUCUCACCAAAUACGUCUAGACUAUGCAUGAACCAUUUUAUCACACGUUCACAUAGCCAUGGCUGCGACAAGAAAGUUGCAAGGUGAAAUAGAUCGGUGCCUUAAAAAAGUAACGGAAGGUGUGGAAACCUUUGAAGAUAUUUGGCAAAAAGUUCAUAAUGCCACGAACAGCAAUCAGAAAGAAAAGUACGAGGCUGAUCUCAAAAAGGAAAUCAAGAAACUUCAAAGGUUACGCGAUCAAAUUAAGAGCUGGAUCGCGUCGGGUGAAAUAAAGGAUAAGAGUACGCUUCUGGACUAUCGGAAGUUGAUUGAGACUCAAAUGGAAAGAUUUAAAGUUGUAGAAAGAGAGACAAAAACAAAAGCUUAUUCUAAAGAAGGUUUAGGCGCUGCUCAGAAAUUGGACCCAGCUCAGAAGGAGAAAGAUGAGGUUACUAAUUGGCUUGCCAAUUCCAUAGACGCUCUCAAUCUGCAGAUGGAUACAUUUGAAUCGGAAAUAGAAUCGUUACAAGCGGGAAAGAAGAAAAGGAUAGACAAAGAUAAGCAAGAUAGGGUGGAUGAAUUGAAGGCAAAGCUCGACAAACACCGCUACCAUAUCCGUAAAUUGGAGACAUUAUUACGUAUGCUUGAUAAUAUGUCUGUCGAAGUCAAUACAAUCAAGAGGAUAAAGGACGAUGUUGAGUAUUAUAUCGAAUCUUCGCAAGAUCCUGAUUUUGAGGAAAACGAAUAUAUUUACGAUGAUAUUAUCGGCCUUGAUGAAGUUGAGUUGUCAGGAGUUGGUAUCCCCUCGUCAGCAACAACAGAUAGUAACAACAGCAAUGAAACCGGAGGAACGCCAACCUCAACUAAUUCCUGUACUUCGCCUAUACCAUCGCCGUCGUUGAGCUCCACUAUGCAUAACCAUUCGAGCGAUAGUUCUACAGAUAAUGACAAGAAAACCAAGCCUGUGAAACCAACAGCAGUCAGGCCGCUACUGAAUACGCAAGCGAGCAUUCCAACCACGGGAAGCACUGCCACCAUAAAAUCGAACAUGUUAUCGAGCAGCACUCCAAGCAAAACCAUUCCCAUGACACCUAGCCAUAGCUCGCCUAGUUCUACGAGCAAUCACAUUGCCACGACUAAUGCCGGCAAUUUCGCCACCGUAGCUGCCUCGCACAGCAAUUCGCAAGCCAUCCAUUCUACCUCCAAUAAAACAUCUACUCACAACAGUGAGAAUAAUAUCUUAUCAUCAUCAUCUACGUCCAGCGUUACGUCGAAUGUGCCGCAAACAGUUACGCAACAGCACAAUAAUAAUCCGGCGCCGGCACAGACGACGCACGUACUGCACAGUCAACAGAGUCAGAAUCACAAUAGUGAAACGGAAAUGACUACACCGGUACCGCCAUCUUCGUCGCCGCAGUCGUCGGUCAGCAGUAGAUCCUCGCCGAUGCCCGCAAACUCCUGCUCGCCAGCACCGUCCACUGCCAAUGGUCUCAUCCCUAAGCUUCCUGAUGGAAGCAUGUCCUCUUUAAAAUCCAUUGCCCAACAAGUAAUUGUCCGAGCAGGUCUCGAGAUACCACCUUCCGAGCCGAAUAGAAACAUCUUUGACAGUGCCAAGACGAGCAACAGUAGCAACAACAAUGCCACGUCGGAAGCACACAUUCCUCCGCUGCUUGGGGUCGCGCCCUUGGGGCCUGUACCAUUACAGAAGGAGCACCAGUUGCAGUUCCAAAUGAUGGAAGCCGCCUACUAUCACAUGCCGCAUCCGUCUGACUCGGAAAGAUUACGUUCAUAUUUGCCGAGAAAUACAUGUACCACGCCACCUUAUUAUCAGCAGGUUCAGCUUCCCCAUUCGGAUACUGUGGAGUUCUUCCAACGUCUUUCUACAGAAACUUUGUUUUUCAUAUUUUAUUAUAUGGAGGGGUCUAAGGGGCAGUAUUUAGCAGCAAAGGCUUUGAAGAAACAAAGUUGGAGGUUUCACACCAAGUAUAUGAUGUGGUUCCAGAGGCACGAGGAACCGAAAAUUAUUAAUGAAGAAUACGAGCAGGGCACGUACAUCUAUUUUGACUACGAAAAAUGGGGGCAGAGGAAAAAAGAAGGAUUUACUUUUGAAUACAAGUACUUAGAGGACAGAGAUCUGAAUUAACAGUUCUGUCGCUCGUUGAGUCUUCGAAAUACGCCGUUUCUGUACCGGUAUUGUGUUAUCUGAACUUUAGAAGAUAAUUCUGUUCGGUAUAAAAUCGGUAGAGUCCAACAUAAGAGAAAAAAAAUCAGUUUAUAAAAAGAACAAAUUUGUGCAUAGAAAGCAAUGAAAGCAUUUCAUUAUAUUUCGAUGUCGCGAUGACAAAAUCUUUCUUAAUCCUUUUUUUUCGAUGAAGGAUAGAUCAAACGAAAAAAAAAGAAUGAAAAAAGAUACAAGCAGAAAGAUUGUAUGGGAAAUAAUUAUUGUAAAUGAUACCAAGGAAGCAAAGAGGGAGAUUGGAGAGACAAUGAAGAAAGAAGCAUUGCAGAAACACUUGGAAUGAUUCAGUAUGCUGUGUGAUAACGGGAAGAAUGAAAGAAGAGAGCGUGAGAGAGGGAGAGAAAGGAUGAUAUACUUGCUGGCGACUGACUCUGUAAUACCAGUACAAACAUGCGUGCGGCCCGUCUGCUGUCUGGCGGAGGGCGCUCAUGCUAUGGGACGAACGUGCUUUCCUUUGUCUGCAUUUCUUCUUGUAAACGGGAUUUCUGCUUAUGUGAUAAAACUCAAAUAGAAGCGUGCAAGAGAAAGAAGACCUUCGUUUGUUAUAUAAUAACAAAUUUUGUCUUCAAUGCUUCUAAUUAAUUUUCCUUAACGCGUUCACUACAAAUGAUGAAGAAAUUGUGAUUUUACUUAAUAAUAUAUUUUAUUGUGAUUAUUUGAGUGAUAUUUAAAUACCAUACUGCUUUGUGCAAAGACUUCAAGUCGUUAAAAUACAGUACUAAUUUCUUCAGUA
RNAcentral lists this unclassified non-coding RNA (3298 nucleotides) under Acromyrmex echinatior (Panamanian leafcutter ant). Its description in RNAcentral is "cCR4-NOT transcription complex subunit 3, transcript variant X2". The record is from RNAcentral. Lineage: Eukaryota; Metazoa; Arthropoda; Insecta; Hymenoptera; Formicidae.